RNAcentral lists this long non-coding RNA (1750 nucleotides) under Portunus trituberculatus (swimming crab). Its description in RNAcentral is "uncharacterized LOC123499344, transcript variant X1". The record is from RNAcentral. Lineage: Eukaryota; Metazoa; Arthropoda; Malacostraca; Decapoda; Portunidae.
GCUGGAGUGUGAGAAGAGCAGCCGAUCCAAAGGCCUGGUUCUGGAGCGAUCCCGAGCCACCUGUAACAUCAAGAUCAAGAUUAAGAUCAAGAAAAAGUGCUGGACCUGGAGGUUGACGAGUGGAAUGAGAUUUGUUUUCACCUCUUCUUUAUUAACUGGAAGGCUUGCUGAAGAGUUACUGGUAUUACAAGCGGCUGCCUAGGCACAGUUUGAGAGAAAUAUUAGUGUUAAAGCAGACAGCCGACAUCCUAUCAACUUACAUCGUGGUUGAAGUUGCUGAGUGGCAGCAAGAUGGUGUGUAUUCCCUGCAUUGUUGUACCAGUCCUGCUCUUCAUCUGGCAUCGUUUCCUGCAGCCUGUGCUUUUAAAGUUUUGGAACCCAUGGAAGAAGAUAACGGGCCAUCAUGAGACAGAGAAAAGUGGGAAAGAUGGCAGUUGUCCAGCAUCUGAUGGAACAGCUGUAAAGAGUGGUGGACCAGCAUGUCCCUUCUCUGGCAAAAAAGUAGCAGACCAGUCUUCUGAAGAAUUACUUCAGGACAAGAAGAAUGACUGAUUUUAUUCAUAUUUUCUAUUUGUGUGUGUCUGUGUGUGAUUCAUUAUUGUCUCAAGAGUCAUGUGUUGAACUUGUGAUUGUUGGCUUUAUCCUCUUGGGGAACGUUUAAAAUUUGUGUCAUUUGGCUUAGAACUCGUGUAGAAUUUGGCUGAGACUAAUGCAUCACAUUCCAGACCCUUAUGCUGAAAAAGGGGAACAACUACCAUAUUUGACAGCAUAUGGGACACACGGGCAUAUAAGACACAACGAAAGUUAUGUUAUCCUUUCCUUGUGCUCUUCAGUUUGUCUUUUUGCUGUCACUAGGCAUGUACAAUUUUUUUCUGUAGGUGAUGGCCCAAAAGCCCUUGCUGCUGCUCUAUUGCCACACCCCAUGGCAUAAUGUAGGAGAUUACAUAGCUCGGUUUUUUCCUUCUGCUGCCAUAACAGUGAGGGUGUUGAUGUGUUUUGUUGUGAUUAUGAACUUGCUGUCAUUCUUUACCAUCAGAUGGCAAUGUCAAGGUUCCAAUCAGCUGAUAUUUGUAAACAUGUGCACAGACUCACAGGUUAGAUUGCCUUGAUUUCUAUGAUAAUUAGUUUUUAAAGUAAUAAUGUUGGUAAUGAUAAUACCAGCAAUAACAUAAUGCAUGUAUUUAAGGUAGGUAGAAGUACCAAUAGUGAACUACAUUACUGAGCAUCUGGGAUAAGAUCACCCUAAUGGAAGUCUCAUUUUAGAUGCGGGGCGAUUUUUUGAGCCAAAUUUUUGGAAAAGUUGCAUCCUAUAUGCCAUCAAAUAUGGUCAUUAGUAAAAGAUUAUGAUUAGCAUUAUGAGUAUGGCCCAAACCUUCACUUGUCACUUGCUGAGUGACAGUUGUGGAUGAUGCCUAGUGAGCUGUGUGUGUGUGUGUAUUUACCUAGUUGCAUAAUACAGGGUUCGGAUAACUAAACUUUGAAUGUUCCUCAAACACUGACUUUUCAUGUUCUUUUUGGAGUAUUCUCUCAUCCAUCUAUCUCCAUCUUCUCUCAGUGAUAUCAGGUCUUGUCUGUCUUCCUUUUCCAUAUGGUUUACUCUCUUAUACAUUUUUAUUAGAUCUCCUCCCAUCUAUUCUUCAAAGUAUGCCACUAGUUAUUGUGCUCCAACUUGAUGAGAUUUCUCUUACCACAGUCCUCAUUUCUCUUCCUGUUAAGUAGUCCCUCAUGCAACAUAAAAUGUUUCCUUGUA